RNAcentral lists this ribosomal RNA (253 nucleotides) under uncultured bacterium. RNAcentral's name for it is "partial 16S ribosomal RNA". It matches the Rfam family "Bacterial small subunit ribosomal RNA", at positions 524 to 776 of the family's 1533-position model. The record is from RNAcentral.
UACAGAGGUCUCAAGCGUUGUUCGGAUUCAUUGGGCGUAAAGGGUGCGUAGGUGGCGUGGUAAGUCGGGGGUGAAAUUUCGGAGCUUAACUCCGAAACUGCAUUCGAUACUGCCGUGCUUGAGGACUGGAGAGGAGACUGGAAUUUACGGUGUAGCAGUGAAAUGCGUAGAGAUCGUAAGGAAGACCAGUGGCGAAGGCGGGUCUCUGGACAGUUCCUGACACUGAGGCACGAAGGCCAGGGGAGCAAACGGG